This 76-nucleotide transfer RNA is filed under the name Myoviridae sp. ctTS62. RNAcentral's name for it is "tRNA-Cys". It matches the Rfam family "tRNA". Rfam says of the family: Transfer RNA (tRNA) molecules are approximately 80 nucleotides in length. Their secondary structure includes four short double-helical elements and three loops (D, anti-codon, and T loops). Further hydrogen bonds mediate the characteristic L-shaped molecular structure. tRNAs have two regions of fundamental functional importance: the anti-codon, which is responsible for specific mRNA codon recognition, and the 3' end, to which the tRNAs corresponding amino acid is attached (by aminoacyl-tRNA synthetases). tRNAs cope with the degeneracy of the genetic code in two manners: having more than one tRNA (with a specific anti-codon) for a particular amino acid; and 'wobble' base-pairing, i.e. permitting non-standard base-pairing at the 3rd anti-codon position. The record is from RNAcentral. Lineage: Duplodnaviria; Heunggongvirae; Uroviricota; Caudoviricetes.
GGCUGGGUACCAGAGUAGUUAAUGGCGUGGAUUGCAAAUCCAUCGUUCGUGGGCGCAAAUCCCACCCCAGUCUCCA